RNAcentral lists this ribosomal RNA (566 nucleotides) under Hanseniaspora uvarum. RNAcentral's name for it is "partial large subunit ribosomal RNA". It matches the Rfam family "Eukaryotic large subunit ribosomal RNA", at positions 73 to 656 of the family's 3401-position model. The record is from RNAcentral. Lineage: Eukaryota; Fungi; Ascomycota; Saccharomycetes; Saccharomycodales; Saccharomycodaceae.
GAUACUUAGUACGGCGAGUGAAGCGGUAAAAGCUCAAAUUUGAAAUCUGGUACUUUCAGUGCCCGAGUUGUAAUUUGUAGAAUUUGUCUUUGAUUAGGUCCUUGUCUAUGUUCCUUGGAACAGGACGUCAUAGAGGGUGAGAAUCCCGUUUGGCGAGGAUACCUUUUCUCUGUAAGACUUUUUCGAAGAGUCGAGUUGUUUGGGAAUGCAGCUCAAAGUGGGUGGUAAAUUCCAUCUAAAGCUAAAUAUUGGCGAGAGACCGAUAGCGAACAAGUACAGUGAUGGAAAGAUGAAAAGAACUUUGAAAAGAGAGUGAAAAAGUACGUGAAAUUGUUGAAAGGGAAGGGCAUUUGAUCAGACAUGGUGUUUUUUGCAUGCACUCGCCUCUCGUGGGCUUGGGCCUCUCAAAAAUUUCACUGGGCCAACAUCAAUUCUGGCAGCAGGAUAAAUCAUUAAGAAUGUAGCUACUUCGGUAGUGUUAUAGCUUUUUGGAAUACUGUUAGCCGGGAUUGAGGACUGCGCUUCGGCAAGGAUGUUGGCAUAAUGGUUAAAUGCCGCCCGUCUUG